This 98-nucleotide signal recognition particle RNA is filed under the name Pseudomonadota bacterium. Its description in RNAcentral is "Proteobacteria bacterium signal recognition particle sRNA small type". It matches the Rfam family "Bacterial small signal recognition particle RNA". From Rfam's summary of the family: The signal recognition particle (SRP) is a universally conserved ribonucleoprotein involved in the co-translational targeting of proteins to membranes. Archaeal SRP consists of a 7S RNA and homologues of the eukaryotic SRP19 and SRP54 proteins. The record is from RNAcentral. Lineage: Bacteria; Pseudomonadati; Pseudomonadota.
CACCGGUCUUCCCACACCGUGUAUUCCGUGAACCCCGUCAGGCCCGGAAGGGAGCAGCGGCAGCGGAACACUCGGGUGCUGGGGUCGGGCUGGUGGAG